Molecule: ribosomal RNA, 253 nt
Filed under: uncultured bacterium
Lineage: Bacteria
Description: partial 16S ribosomal RNA
Rfam family: Bacterial small subunit ribosomal RNA
Source: RNAcentral
UACAGAGGCCGCGAGCGUUAGGCGGAAUAACUGGGCUUAAAGCGUGUGCAGGCGGAGGCCUAAGUGUCUUGUGAAAUCCCACGGCUUAACUGUGGAACUGCUUGGCAUACUGGGUGUCUUGAGCAGCCUAGGGGCGGGCGGAACAGAUGGUGGAGCGGUGAAAUGAGUAGAUAUCAUCUGGAACGCCAAUGGCGAAGACAGCUCGCUGGGGGCUCGCUGACGCUGAGACACGAAAGCCAGGGGAGCGAACGGG